AUUGAACGCUGGCGGCGUGCUUUACACAUGCAAGUCGAACGGUAACAGGUUAAGCUGACGAGUGGCGAACGGGUGAGUAAUGCAUCGGAACGUGCCCGGUCGUGGGGGAUAACGCAGCGAAAGCUGCGCUAAUACCGCAUACGAUCUGAGGAUGAAAGCGGGGGACCGUAAGGCCUCGCGCGAUCGGAGCGGCCGAUGUCAGAUUAGGUAGUUGGUGGGGUAAAGGCUCACCAAGCCGACGAUCUGUAGCUGGUCUGAGGGGACGACCAGCCACACUGGGACUGAGACACGGCCCAGACUCCUACGGGAGGCAGCAGUGGGGAACUUUGGACAAUGGGCGCAAGCCUGAUCCAGCAAUGCCGCGUGCAGGAAGAAGGCCUUCGGGUUGUAAACUGCUUUUGUACGGAGCGAAAAGGCUCUCUCUAAUACAGGGGGCUCAUGACGGUACCGUAAGAAUAAGCACCGGCUAACUACGUGCCAGCAGCCGCCGUAA
RNAcentral lists this ribosomal RNA (493 nucleotides) under uncultured bacterium. RNAcentral's name for it is "partial 16S ribosomal RNA". It matches the Rfam family "Bacterial small subunit ribosomal RNA", at positions 29 to 523 of the family's 1533-position model. The record is from RNAcentral.